CGGGAUGACGGCCUUCGGGUUGUAAACCGCUUUUGAUUGGGAGCAAGCGAGAGUGAGUGUACCUUUCGAAUAAGCACCGGCUAACUACGUGCCAGCAGCCGCGGUAAUACGUAGGGUGCAAGCGUUAUCCGGAUUUAUUGGGCGUAAAGAGCUCGUAGGCGGUUCGUCGCGUCUGGUGUGAAAGUCCAUCGCUUAACGGUGGAUCGGCGCCGGGUACGGGCGGACUGGAGUGCGGUAGGGGAGACUGGAAUUCCCGGUGUAACGGUGGAAUGUGUAGAUAUCGGGAAGAACACCGAUGGCGAAGGCAGGUCUCUGGGCCGUCACUGACGCUGAGGAGCGAAAGCGUGGGGAGCGAACAGGAUUAGAUACCCUGGUAGUCCACGCCGUAAACGGUGGAUGCUGGAUGUGGGGCCCGUUCCACGGGUUCCGUGUCGGAGCUAACGCGUUAAGCAUCCCGCCUGGGGAGUACGGCCGCAAGGCUAAAACUCAAAGAAAUUGACGGGGGCCCGCACAAGCGGCGGAGCAUGCGGAUUAAUUCGAUGCAACGCGAAGAACCUUACCUGGGCUUGACAUGUGCCGGACGGCCGCGGAGACGCGGCUUCCCUUCGGGGCCGGUUCACAGGUGGUGCAUGGUCGUCGUCAGCUCGUGUCGUGAGAUGUUGGGUCAAGUCCCGCAACGAGCGCAACCCUCGCCUCGUGUUGCCAGCACGUUAUGGUGGGAACUCACGGGGGACCGCCGGGGUUAACCCGGAGGAAGGUGGGGAUGACGUCAGAUCAUCAUGCCCCUUACGUCCAGGGCUUCACGCAUGCUACAAUGGCCGGUACAACGGGAUGCGACAUGGUGACAUGGAGCGGAUCCCUGAAAACCGGUCUCAGUUCGGAUCGGAGCCUGCAACCCGGCUCCGUGAAGGCGGAGUCGCUAGUAAUCGCGGAUCAGCAACGCCGCGGUGAAUGCGUUCCCGGGCCUUGUACACACCGCCCGUCAAGUCAUGAAAGUGGGCAGCACCCGAAGCCGGGGCCCA
Molecule: ribosomal RNA, 1022 nt
Filed under: Bifidobacterium asteroides
Lineage: Bacteria; Bacillati; Actinomycetota; Actinomycetes; Bifidobacteriales; Bifidobacteriaceae
Description: bacterial SSU rRNA
Rfam family: Bacterial small subunit ribosomal RNA
Source: RNAcentral